GGAACACAAGCGUUCAGUUGUGUCGACGCCAAGUCGAAGCACUGGUUCAACAUUGACGCCAGACUCCUUGUCAUGUCUAGGUCGCCCAAUGCUGCCCAACCGGUUUAUCACAAGAUACGACGUGAACACCACCAUGAAGCCCCGACUUGAACUUUCAAGAAAUGGUUGGGUUUGGUCAAGGGACUGGUAUUGGAUCUGAUAUAUCAUCAUUGUUGUCACACCUUUUCGCUAAAAAUGAUAUCUUGAAAAUGCUUGGUAUUGCUCCUUGUGAGGUGUUACCCAACGUUAAUGACGCCUGUCUGUAUAAGUGGUACAUACUUGACACCUAUGGCGAAGGAUGAGCCAGUUAUUUUCGAGUUUGUACUUUGGGUGCAUCUCGUUCCUCGGGUUGCAUUGCGCCCGCGACCCCAUAGGAGUUCCUGGUCUUGUCUCUCCGCCCCCAACCCCGAUAAACUCUGUGUACCGUGAACGAAUGCUCAUCAGGUCGACAGUUAUUUGACGGCGUAAAUCCAUCCAUAUUAACUGGCGCUGCGGCUGCGCUCAAUAGACUCCGUUGGGGAGUCUGAGCCUGAUAGGGUGUACCAGUCCAGCCGGUUAUGUACGGUUGGUAUGCUCUAUGAUAUGGAUCUCCAGCCACCUGUCAGCUAGGGGCAGACCCCAGUGUCUCAACCCUGGGUCUCAGAGGCGGUAACUUCUAGUCAGGCAGCGCGCUAUGUCUGGUUAGGCGACAUGGGUUACCAGGGCAUCCACAGCCAAAAUGGUUUGCACAUGGAGGUCAUCGCGACCGACUUGUGAGGGGGAAGAAGUGAUGUCCAUGGCGGUUUCAAAUUGAUCUGACGACCCCCGCGUCUUCUGGACAGGGAGGGGUUCAUGUGGCCAAAUCCUGUCAGCUAAAUCCUAUCGUUAGCAUCGUUCGCGGUACAUGGAAACCAAGGGCAUGGAACCCUUUUUUUGUCUUGGUUUAAUUACUCUGAGGAUUUCAAUGAUGAUAUAUAUAUUUAGAUCCACAGGUAUAGUCGGUACACGUGGCGACUCGCCACAUGAACAUUUUAAAAGUUUUUUUCGAGCAUUGUUAAAAGUUAUGAGAAUAAAUUUCUUCUUUGGACGUGUUUUUUUUACCAGAAUGACAAUCAAAAAGUUUGUCACUGGAGCAUUUCCCCAUCCCCCACCCCAGCCCUAGAAUAAUAUACAGACUAAAUAGUAUCUUUGGACUGUACUGGUAAUAUAGGUCAGUCACGAAAAAUAAAAUAUAUAUUGGACUGUACUGGUAAUAUAGGUCAGUCAC
Lineus longissimus is the source of this 1285-nucleotide long non-coding RNA. RefSeq lists it as uncharacterized. The record is from RefSeq and is a predicted model, not a curated record. Lineage: Eukaryota; Metazoa; Nemertea; Pilidiophora; Heteronemertea; Lineidae. The transcript is spliced from 3 exons.